Molecule: ribosomal RNA, 252 nt
Filed under: uncultured bacterium
Lineage: Bacteria
Description: partial 16S ribosomal RNA
Rfam family: Bacterial small subunit ribosomal RNA
Source: RNAcentral
ACGUAGGGGGCAAGCGUUAUCCGGAAUUACUGGGUGUAAAGGGAGCGUAGGCGGCAUGGUAAGCCAGAUGUGAAAGCCUUGGGCUUAACCGAAGGAUUGCAUUUGGAACUAUCAAGCUAGAGUACAGGAGAGGAAAGCGGAAUUCCUAGUGUAGCGGUGAAAUGCGUAGAUAUUAGGAAGAACACCAGUGGCGAAGGCGGCUUUCUGGACUGAAACUGACGCUGAGGCUCGAAAGCGUGGGGAGCAAACAGG